RNAcentral lists this ribosomal RNA (236 nucleotides) under Isotomidae environmental sample. RNAcentral's name for it is "partial large subunit ribosomal RNA". It matches the Rfam family "Eukaryotic large subunit ribosomal RNA", at positions 40 to 264 of the family's 3401-position model. The record is from RNAcentral. Lineage: Eukaryota; Metazoa; Arthropoda; Collembola; Entomobryomorpha; Isotomidae.
AUAUUAAUAAGCGGAGGAAAAGAAACUAACAAGGAUUCCCUUAGUAACGGCGAGCGAAAAGGGAAGAGCCCAGCGCCGAAUCUUGUAUCCCCCGGGUGCAGAGACAUGUGGCGUUUGGGACGAGACAUUGCCUGUGCAGAGUGGUUAACCAAGUCCCUCUUGAACGGGGCCAUAGCCCAAGGAGGGUGCUAGGCCCGUACGUUAACUAUAUUGUGCAGUGCGUCUCGUCCGUAGAG